This 570-nucleotide unclassified non-coding RNA is filed under the name Hevea brasiliensis (rubber tree). Lineage: Eukaryota; Viridiplantae; Streptophyta; Magnoliopsida; Malpighiales; Euphorbiaceae. The record is from RNAcentral.
GUCUAUGCUCCACAGUUGGAAGAAACAAUUGAUGUAACUUCAGAUUUGUGUGCUUAUAAGGUCCAACUUUCUGAGAAGUUAAUGAGCCAAGUGCUUUUUAAGAAGCUUGGAGACUAUGAAAUAGCAUGGGUUGAUGCUGAAGUGGGGAAGACGGAAAACGACAUGUUCUCUUUACUUCCUCUUUCCGGACCUUCUCCACCCCAUAAAACAGUUCUUGUUGGAGAUUUAAAAAUGUCUGAUUUCAAGCAGUUUCUUGCAAGCAAGGGCGUUCAGGUAGAAUUUGGUGGUGGGGCUUUACGUUGUGGGGAGUAUGUCACCAUUCGCAAAGUUGGAGAUGCUAGUCAAAAGGUUGGAGGUGCAGCUAUUCAGCAGAUUGUGCUUGAAGGUCCAUUAUCGGAAGAGUACUAUAAAAUUCGAGAGUACCUAUAUUCACAUUUUUACUCCCUCUAAAUAUGAAGAGCAGAGUAACUUUUUGUACUUGUAACAAAUGCAGCUUUCCUUUUUGUCUCUUUUUUCUCUUCUCUUGAAUCUUGACUGGCUGUUUUUCUAGUAAUUUGUAACUUAUUGUCU